Molecule: long non-coding RNA, 510 nt
Filed under: Homo sapiens (human)
Lineage: Eukaryota; Metazoa; Chordata; Mammalia; Primates; Hominidae
Description: HSALNT0253067
Source: RNAcentral
AACAAGUCAAACUUUCUAAUCUAAAAAUGACAACAUGGCAUUUUAAUGGUUUCUUAAAUUAUCUGGACUAAAGGUAACAUUUUGCAUUUUUUUUUCGGGAGACCUAAGGUUUUCAAAAAGCAAAUUUGUUUCACUUGCUUCUUUCUUCUUUAAAAGGAGUGGAGAUGGUGGAGCCCACGGCAUCCCAUCUCUGGUUGUAUGCUUGUUUCUAGGCCAAUCAUGAAGCCCUUGGUCAACUUCAGCCUGGUCCUACAGAUUCCAAAUACAACCAGAUGCAGAGCUGGCUGCAUGGCAACUGAGACCAUGCCGGGACCACCCACCCACCCUCAAGCUAGACAUUCUACUCCUGGUCUUCAUGGAGGCUGUGGUCCAUGUCCAACUUCAUGGCCUACUGGACUCUGUGCCUUCAGUAGGAAGGAGGAGUGACCAGAAGCUGGGGCUAGAGAGAAGAGCAGAGAAAGAAGCCUCACUAUUUUUUCAUUUUUAAGGACUUUUCCUGACAGAUGUCUC